This is a non-coding RNA of Caenorhabditis elegans, 133 nucleotides long. Lineage: Eukaryota; Metazoa; Nematoda; Chromadorea; Rhabditida; Rhabditidae. The record is from Ensembl.
UUUUUUACACGAAAGAUGCAUCAUUUUGUAAUGCUCGGUGAGCUCUCGGGGGCUCCGCACACUUGCGCUGCCGAGAAUAAUUAGAAAACGUGUCUCGGGGCGAGAAGAACUGAAAUUAGUAGUCGCCGUCGUC